UAUGAAAUACCCAAAACAUCAUACAAUUUGGGACGGAGGGAGGAAGGAACUUGAUUCUCUUAAGUAUGUGGAAUGAGUUGGAUUCCAAACUU
This 92-nucleotide microRNA precursor is filed under the name Medicago truncatula (barrel medic). RNAcentral's name for it is "miR5205a stem-loop (mtr-MIR5205a)". Lineage: Eukaryota; Viridiplantae; Streptophyta; Magnoliopsida; Fabales; Fabaceae. The record is from miRBase by way of RNAcentral.